GCAAUUUACAGCCUGCUUCCGGCGAUGAUUUAGGAUCAAAGUUACACACUUAUAUACUAGAUUAAUGGAAAUAAGUAACGCGCACCCAAACUUCAACGUAAUAGUGUGAAAAUGAAAUAAUUUGGAUACAAGGUUUUCAAAAUCAGAAACGAAGCAAGAAGAACUUUUCUGAGGCUUAAGUGUUGAAGUUCAGUUGUGAUUGUCAUGCCCUAGGAUAUGCUAAUGGAUUGAUGGAGAAGAACGUCUGGAAUCAGAUACAGAAAGUAACAUGGUAGACAUGUACAUAUUUAAAGCAAGUGGAAACCUUUAAAAGAACGAACAACUAAACUAAGAAUUAUGUGCACAUCAUAGGAUAUUGACGUCAAUGGAAACAAAAUGUUUGUACUAGUUGAUCGCAGGAAUAUUGAUGAAAAAGUUAAAAGACAUUCAGUGAUAGGGAUGAAGUGGAGGCAUUAUCGAUAAACAAAGAGUCCCCAGUUCAGGAAAUGGUACAGCGCUGAGAGUAUUUUGAAAGUAAAGAAAGGU
Molecule: long non-coding RNA, 525 nt
Organism: Mercenaria mercenaria
Lineage: Eukaryota; Metazoa; Mollusca; Bivalvia; Venerida; Veneridae
Exons: 5
Source: RefSeq, a predicted model, not a curated record